Molecule: ribosomal RNA, 474 nt
Filed under: uncultured organism
Description: partial 16S ribosomal RNA
Rfam family: Bacterial small subunit ribosomal RNA
Source: RNAcentral
UACACUCCUACGGGAGGCAGCAGUGGGGAAUAUUGCACAAUGGGCGCAAGCCUGAUGCAGCCAUGCCGCGUGUGUGAAGAAGGCCUUCGGGUUGUAAAGCACUUUCAGCGGGGAGGAAGGCGAUACGGUUAACAACCGUGUUGAUUGACGUUACCCGCAGAAGAAGCACCGGCUACCUCCGUGCCAGCAGCCGCGGUAAUACGGAGGGUGCAAGCGUUAAUCGGAAUUACUGGGCGUAAAGCGCACGCAGGCGGUCUGUCAAGUCGGAUGUGAAAUCCCCGGGCUCAACCUGGGAACUGCAUUCGAAACUGGCAGGCUUGAGUCUUGUAGAGGGGGGUAGAAUUCCAGGUGUAGCGGUGAAAUGCGUAGAGAUCUGGAGGAAUACCGGUGGCGAAGGCGGCCCCCUGGACAAAGACUGACGCUCAGGUGCGAAAGCGUGGGGAGCAAACAUGAUUAGAUACCCUGGUAGUCCCA